Spinacia oleracea (spinach) is the source of this 912-nucleotide long non-coding RNA. RefSeq lists it as uncharacterized. The record is from RefSeq and is a predicted model, not a curated record. The transcript is spliced from 5 exons. Lineage: Eukaryota; Viridiplantae; Streptophyta; Magnoliopsida; Caryophyllales; Amaranthaceae.
CAGAAAUUAUGAUCUGUUGGAUUCUUUCUUUGGCUCAUGUUAAAGUUCUUAACAUGGAUUCUCCUUUAAUUUAAUUUGGAGUUCUGUAAUAUGUUCACGAGAUUGAACUUAGUUUUAUGUGUCUGAAGUUGUCUUUUUCUUCAUUUUGUCAAUUGAGCAGUAGCUAGCCGGGAAAAUAUGGCAGCCAUUAGCAAGUAUAUGGGCUUGAGCAGUGUUAAAUCGGGUCCUAAUCAUGCCCGUGGGUUGUGUUUAUAAUUAUGGCCCCUCAGACGGAUUCCUGGACCUGCCUGAGGGAGAUGAUCAGACCACUGAUCAGGAAGCGGGUGAGAAUGAAGCUGCUUCAUGGUUGCUACUUAACCCAGGUGCAGCCGUUCAGGUAAUCAGUUCUGCGAGCCGUUGUAUAACCAGCAGCAGGAAUUCAGUGUGGAGAUGACAGUUAAGUGUAGGGAACCAAAAUAUCACCAAAUACAGUACCAGAACUUGCUAAAUGCUGUGAAGGAUUCGAUUGUUCAGGGGUAAACUUGUUGGGCAGUAUGUUGCAGCUGAUGACGCUGGACCUCUGAUGUCAACAAUGCAGGUUGUAUUGCUUCUUGUGUUAUCUGGUGCAUUUCUUAGAGCCAAUCAAAUUUGUUUCUCCUGCGAUGCCACCCGAUACUGUGAGAACUGUGGCUGUUCUGUGUGGACAUGCAAUUGCUCAGAGUUCUUCAGCAAUCCUCGGCCAUAGUUAUUUGAGUGGGCUCGGUACGAGGAGGAUGACACUCAUUCAAAGAGAGGUGUUCUCCUGCUAUAUAGAGCAAGGUGGGCAACGGAUAGGAGAAUGCGUUUGUUGUCUAGUAAUGUUAUGUUUUAUGUUUUUCUUAUGUGUUGGAUAUGACGUUGGAUGCUACUUGGAGAAUAUAUAUGGUUGUUGGA